This 253-nucleotide ribosomal RNA is filed under the name uncultured bacterium. RNAcentral's name for it is "partial 16S ribosomal RNA". It matches the Rfam family "Bacterial small subunit ribosomal RNA", at positions 524 to 776 of the family's 1533-position model. The record is from RNAcentral.
UACAGAGGGUGCAAACGUUGUUCGGAAUUACUGGGCGUAAAGCGCGUGCAGGCGGCCUUGCAAGUCGGACGUGAAAUCCCACGGCUCAACCGUGGAAGUGCAUUCGAAACUGCGAGGCUAGAGUCCUGGAGAGGAAAGUGGAAUACUCGGUGUAGAGGUGAAAUUCGUAGAUAUCGAGUGGAACACCGGUGGCGAAGGCGGCUUUCUGGACAGGUACUGACGCUGAGACGCGAAAGCAUGGGGAGCGAACGGG